Long non-coding RNA from Neopelma chrysocephalum (saffron-crested tyrant-manakin), 318 nucleotides. RefSeq lists it as uncharacterized. The record is from RefSeq and is a predicted model, not a curated record. The transcript is spliced from 3 exons. Lineage: Eukaryota; Metazoa; Chordata; Aves; Passeriformes; Pipridae.
CAGCACCAGAGACCAGCAACCACCAUACCAACCAACAGGCAACAUUGGAGCAGUCUCUGCAAUCUCCCUCACAGGAGAUGAGCAGCUCCAGCCCUGACAGUCAGAAGUCCCCAUGACAGGAACAGUGUGAGAGCACCCAGUGCUGAGAGCUCCACUUACCAGUGGGACGGUGAGACAGGGACCCACCGCUGACACGUCCCACAUCAGACAGGGAGGUGGAGGCCCCCAAAGGGAGGGAGCCAGCAUGCCUGCUGUGUCAGCCAUCAGAGGCUGACCCGGACAUCUGUAGAGAAAACCUUCAGAAAAAUGAGUUCUGUG